Molecule: ribosomal RNA, 476 nt
Filed under: Diaporthe amygdali
Lineage: Eukaryota; Fungi; Ascomycota; Sordariomycetes; Diaporthales; Diaporthaceae
Description: SSU rRNA
Rfam family: Bacterial small subunit ribosomal RNA
Source: RNAcentral
GCCUAACGGCUGAACUGGCAACUUGGAUGAAUGGACCGGCUACCCCCUUGAAAAAUAGGUAAGAGGUAAGUGCAGGAGAUCCUUUUAAGGAGUAAAGUUCUAAAUAUAUGAUUGAUAAUGACAGUAUAUAUAUUAUGUCUUGACCAAUUACGUGCCAGCAGUCGCGGCAAUACGUAUGAGACUAGUGUUAUUCAUCUUAAAUAGGUUUAAAGGGUACCCAGACGGCAAAUGUCACCUUUAAAAGGUUAUUAUUUUGCUAGAGUUUUAUGUGAAGAGGCCGUACUCGUGAGUGGAGAGAUUAAAUUCUGUGAUACCUAGGGGACGGAUAAAGGCGAAGGCAGCCUCUUAUGUAGAAACUGACGUUGAAGGACGAAGGCAUUGCGGCACGAACAGGAUUAGGUACCCAAGUAGUCUUUGCAGACAAUGAUGAAUGCCAUAGGUAGGUUAUUACUUAGUCUAUAAAUGAAAGUGUAAGC